GGUUUUUGGGGAUUAUCAAAAAUCAGACCUGCUCAAUGUCAAGUAAAUAGCCGCGGUAUUAUGACCGUGCAAAGGUAGCAUAAUAAUUAGUCUUUUAAUUGAGGACUGGAAUGAAUGGUUUAACUGAAUACUCUUGUCUUAUAUUUAUAUUUCUAAUUUUAUAUUUUAAUAAAAAAGUUAAAAUAUUCUUAAGGGACGAGAAGACCCUAUCAAGCUUUAUAAUCAAUUAUUUAUAUUUCAAAUUAAAUAAAAAAUUAUUUUACUGGGGCAGUUGGCAAUAAAAAUAUUGCUUUCAUUUUGUGGAAUUAAACUUAGAAAAAACAAAAAAUUUUUAAAGAAAAAUAAGUUACUGUAGGGAUAACAGCAUAAUUUUUUUAAAGAGUUCUUAUCGUCAAAAAAGUUUGUGACCUCGAUGUUGGAUUAAAAUUCCUAAAUUGCGCAGUAGCAAUGAAAAGGAAGUCUGUUCGACUUUUAAAAAUAUUUCCA
This 486-nucleotide ribosomal RNA is filed under the name Brachistosternus roigalsinai. Its description in RNAcentral is "partial 16S ribosomal RNA". It matches the Rfam family "Bacterial large subunit ribosomal RNA", at positions 1832 to 2600 of the family's 2925-position model. Lineage: Eukaryota; Metazoa; Arthropoda; Arachnida; Scorpiones; Bothriuridae. The record is from RNAcentral.